RNAcentral lists this ribosomal RNA (424 nucleotides) under uncultured Agathobaculum sp. Its description in RNAcentral is "bacterial SSU rRNA". It matches the Rfam family "Bacterial small subunit ribosomal RNA", at positions 338 to 780 of the family's 1533-position model. Lineage: Bacteria; Bacillati; Bacillota; Clostridia; Eubacteriales; Butyricicoccaceae. The record is from RNAcentral.
CCUACGGGAGGCAGCAGUGGGGAAUAUUGCACAAUGGGGGAAACCCUGAUGCAGCAACGCCGCGUGAAGGAUGAAGGCCUUUGGGUCGUAAACUUCUGUUCUAAGGGAAGAUAGUGACGGUACCUUAGGAGCAAGUCCCGGCUAACUACGUGCCAGCAGCCGCGGUAAUACGUAGGGGGCAAGCGUUAUCCGGAAUUAUUGGGCGUAAAGAGUACGUAGGUGGUUUUCUAAGCACGGGGUUUAAGGCAAUGGCUUAACCAUUGUUCGCCUUGUGAACUGGAAGACUUGAGUGCAGGAGAGGAAAGCGGAAUUCCUAGUGUAGCGGUGAAAUGCGUAGAUAUUAGGAGGAACACCAGUGGCGAAGGCGGCUUUCUGGACUGUAACUGACACUGAGGUACGAAAGCGUGGGGAGCAAACAGGAUUA